Molecule: ribosomal RNA, 844 nt
Filed under: Triticum aestivum (bread wheat)
Lineage: Eukaryota; Viridiplantae; Streptophyta; Magnoliopsida; Poales; Poaceae
Description: partial small subunit ribosomal RNA
Source: RNAcentral
CUCGUUGGUCAGUAGACGCCCUAUUUAAGCACAUGCAUCCCCCUAUACAUCCUCACCAAUACCAGUGCUAGCAAAUCUAGCUAUCCCACCCUCUCUCCGUGAGCUAGCCCACCACCACAAGGUCCACAACUACAGCUAACUCGGUCGAGAUGGCUCGCACUGCAGCUACUAAGCUCGUGCUGGUCGCCCUGGUGGCGGCAAUGAUCCUCGCAGCCUCCGACGCGGCCAUCAGCUGCGGCCAGGUGAGCUCUGCCUUGGCCCCCUGCGUCGCCUAUGCGAAGGGCAGCGGGACCAGCCCGUCUGGGGCCUGCUGCAGCGGCGUCAGGAAAUUGGCCGGCUUAGCGCGGAGCACCGCCGACAAGCAAGCUACAUGCAGGUGCCUCAAGAGUGUUGCCGGAGGGCUCAACCCCAACAAGGCCGCAGGCAUUCCCUCCAAGUGCGGCGUCAGCGUCCCCUACACGAUCAGCGCAUCCGUGGACUGCUCUAAGAUCCACUGAUCGAUUUCUGGCCGCCAUCAUCGCCGAUUAUAGUUCCAGCGAUUGAUGCUGAGUACGUUGAGGUCUCACACACACAUAUAUACAUAUACAUGAAUAAAUGCUCUGAUAUGAUCUCCAUGUGAGAGAUAGGAGUACGUACAUCGAGCCAGCUUUGCAUAGCUGGCCACUGUUGUAUCUAUUUUGUAUCAGCGUUUGAUUGUUCGUUCACUCCCUUUGAGCAGACACGGGAGUUUGUUGUACUUUGUACGAUGUACGCUUAUCAUAUAUGGAUUAUAAAUUAAUCUACCUCUAUUCGGUUAACAUGCGUCCUUAUUUGAAAGGACUAAGAGCAUCUGUAGUAAAGUCAC